GACGAACGCUGGCGGCGUGCCUAAUACAUGCAAGUCGAACGCUGAAGGAGGAGCUUGCUUCUCUGGAUGAGUUGCGAACGGGUGAGUAACGCGUAGGUAACCUGCCUGGUAGCGGGGGAUAACUAUUGGAAACGAUAGCUAAUACCGCAUAAGAGUAGAUGUUGCAUGACAUUUGCUUAAAAGGUGCAAUUGCAUCACUACCAGAUGGACCUGCGUUGUAUUAGCUAGUUGGUGGGGUAACGGCUCACCAAGGCGACGAUACAUAGCCGGCCUGAGAGGGGGAUCGGCCACACUGGGACUGAGACACGGCCCAGACUCCUACGGGAGGCAGCAGUAGGGAAUCUUCGGCAAUGGACGGAAGUCUGACCGAGCAACGCCGCGGGAGUGAAGAAGGUUGUCGGAUCGGAAAGCUCUGUUGUAAGAGAAGAACGAGUGUGAGAGUGGAAAGUUCACACUGUGACGGUAGCUUACCAGAAAGGGACGGCUAACUACGUG
This 495-nucleotide ribosomal RNA is filed under the name uncultured bacterium. RNAcentral's name for it is "partial 16S ribosomal RNA". It matches the Rfam family "Bacterial small subunit ribosomal RNA", at positions 28 to 507 of the family's 1533-position model. The record is from RNAcentral.